UCGUCGUCUAGCCAGAGGCGGCGGUUGGUCUGGAAGCGUACGGGCUAGGUCGGGAUGCGGGGGAGGCGCCGGCUAGGUAGGGACACGGCGCCGGCUAGGUACGGGAUACGGCGGUGGCUACGGAGGAGGAGGUGGAAGUAAGGGUUCGCUGCCGCGGGUGUCAGCGCCAGAAGAGGGGGUCGGUGGCACCGACGUCUAGGUGAGUGCCGGCCAGCAGAUUCGACGUUCGUACCUACCUACCUAGAUCCUUCCAUAGGAAGGAGGGACCCACCUCGCUCGACGUGUAGGGUAAGCCGGGAGACAUCAGCCGGUAGAGGCGGAGGAGGAGCGGCAGCGGCGGCGGCCCCUAGCGCAGAAGUGGUUCGUGCUCGAGGCGGGGUAGGCUGGCUGGCGUUUCCCUAACAGGUAACAUUUAAAAGUUCCUCUAAGUUUACAAGGAGAAGACCUACUAACUUCCCUAUGAACUUCGAUCCCGUUAGGUUCAUUCUAUCGAAGUAGGAGUCCGUUGUCCAAAUACAAUAGAAUAGUACCUCAGUAAAAAUUCAAACACGGGUUGCGGAAGUAGGAAUCUUACCGACGGGUCUACCGUUCGGUGGCAUAAGUCCGCUAACGGCGCGAUCCCACGAGGUUGAAAACUACGACCGCUUCGAAAACCUUACUACCGAUGUAUUAAACAAUCAGAGGCAACCUUCGAAUUAAUUUGACUCCAAGUCUACACACCGUUUCCUAAAGUUAAAAGGACAAAUGUGUUUCCUUUGAACUCCUUCCAAGUCUAAAGAGUACGAGCCACGACACGAGAGUUCCAAUGUAUCUGUUUUUACGGAGGAUAAAUGUGUUACCGUUGGGCUACUUCCUACUGCCCCGCCCAGCCCUCCGCCCCUUUCGGCAGGUACCGCUAGGACCACCGCAACGAUUACCGCAGUCACCGUGACCGCGAGGAGUAGCACGGGCUGUGCGAGAGAUACGGUCCGAGAUUGCCGCACCUAGCGCCGCGGCGGGACAGCGAGGGUGCGGGCACGAAGUCGUCUAGGACAAACUCAGCACGUAUUGAAAUCGGCGGAGGGGAGGUUACAGGUGCUGAGACUAUAUGGCACAAACAAUCAGAACUGACCACAAACAAGAGGCAUAACAACACGUCCUCCGACCUCUUGUCGUCCCUCUUGUCCCUCAGCACCUACCUCUGAACAGGAUGUACCGGCUCGUUCUAGCUCCGAUCGGCGGCCAUUACAAGAAGAGGGCACGUUCAAGGCGUGACGUAACUUCGUAGGUUGUGUACUACAUCGAUGCAAUGUCCACCCUGUAGUCGGUACAUACAAAGCUCCACUAUGUAGGUAGUUCAAACAAACCUCGUUUAUUCCCGGAAUCUUCUUUUAUUUUUUUUUAACACGUCAGGUCGAGGACGCACGACCAGUGGCUCGAGGUGACACAGGUCGAGUAGGCUGGUACACGAGGUGACGUAGAUCCAGUCGGCUAGAACACCGUCUCGAUGUGACUGCGUUCUCGUUUAUCAAAAUGUUAAAGAAACAACAAGGAAACAUGACCUAUUGACACGUAAAAAUCUCCACACUUCUACAUUACGUUAUUGUCAUUGACCCGCAUACGUGUAGGCAGAGCUAUUCGUAAUACCUUUGCCUGUUUCCGUUCCGUAAGGUUACAUUCUUUACCUACUUCCGUUCCAUACAGUAAGAUUUUUUUCCGUUCCGUAUGGUCCUACGACGUAACGAAUUACAGGUCAAGAGAUGCGAAAGGGAUGUCGUUGGAAAAAAUCUAGAAUACUCAACACAAAAGGAUUGUUUUUUUACAGGUAUACCUAAGUGACUUUGUUCUAAUAUAAUAGUCGUUAAAACAAACGUACAUUAAUUAAUCACUAUCGGAUACGGAGUGUGCUGAUAAAAAAAGUCAAGUCAACAUAGGAAGUUAUACCCACGUUACUUCACACCUAUCUGUUUGUGUAAAGAAAAUGACACUAUAGUAACUGGAACAACUAAAUAUAAAAGUUUUGACUAUCCUUACUUUAGGUAUACUUAGAACACUACGGUUUCGAGAUUCACGACUACUAAAUUUAAGGAUAAUUUUUUAGGAAUUUAUCUUUCACCUGGAAUAUCGCCUCUUAUUACACAUUCGAUGUCCACCUCAGGCAGAGUUCCCUUCACUUUGGCUUUUGUAUCUGGUGUAAUCUCAGCUUCUAUUCCACUUACGUUAGUGUCUAGGUGUACUCUCAGUCUAUUCUAACCACUUACGUUAGUCUUGACAGUUUACACACAAAAGGUUGAAAAGUACGACGUACUAGAGACGGGUGAAAUGAUCUUCUUCUCGGAAGGAUGUCCCACUUCCACCUAUUCCUCGGUAAGUUGAAUCUCCUUCACAGAGUUAUUUACACACACAAUGGUUCCAACUUAACAGAUGAGCGAGAGAACCUCCAAUACAAGGAAGGGUAGAUAAUUCGACAAUCAUAGGAAUAGUGGCACAGACCGAGGUAACUUUUCGAGUGUGGUGGUACGAACUUCUUGUAUUUACCACCAUGUAAUAAGACUAUAUAAAAUACACGGCGGUAACACCAUCUCGGGCCGUACUUCCCACCCAGGUCAUAUAUUCGUCCACCAUGAUCGUGAUUCUAUCCUUCCAGUAAAGGCGGGAACAGGAAACAACUACCGGACGGUUCCGCCGCAGCUAAUGACCAAGUUAAACUUGUGCUCAAUCACCUAAAAUAAUAUUUUCACUCCAAAUUCUCACCCACUACCAAUAAACC
Molecule: ribosomal RNA, 2749 nt
Filed under: Triticum aestivum (bread wheat)
Lineage: Eukaryota; Viridiplantae; Streptophyta; Magnoliopsida; Poales; Poaceae
Description: partial small subunit ribosomal RNA
Source: RNAcentral